ACUUAAUUAGUAUAAAAAGUAUUAUAGACUUCCAAUCUUUAGGUCCUAUUGGUGGAUUAAGUA
RNAcentral lists this transfer RNA (63 nucleotides) under Chthamalus challengeri. Its description in RNAcentral is "tRNA-Gly". Lineage: Eukaryota; Metazoa; Arthropoda; Thecostraca; Balanomorpha; Chthamalidae. The record is from RNAcentral.